AACUCUAUCCUUUGAGAAUCAUCGAUCAUCAAGAUGAUGCCCAAUGAGUCUCACAAUCCACCAGUGACACCUAGCAGUAUGUAGUGAUAAUCCAGUAGAAUGAAAGUAUGAACCCCUAGGUAUAGUUAUCAUAUGAUUCAAUCUUUUUAUCAUGAGUCCCGACUUGAUGAAGGUUAUGGAGAGCUCGUCAGACCUCAUCAUCAAUCAUAC
Molecule: long non-coding RNA, 210 nt
Filed under: Elaeis guineensis (African oil palm)
Lineage: Eukaryota; Viridiplantae; Streptophyta; Magnoliopsida; Arecales; Arecaceae
Description: long non-coding RNA (EGUI_LNC063338)
Source: RNAcentral